UAUCGCUGUGUAUUUUUUAAUUCUUUUUUUCUCGUAUUUUAAUAGAUGGUUCAGCAAACAGCCGGGAGUCAGCUCUGCAGAGACGUCUAGUGUCCAGGGAGGUCUUCAACAGGGGGUCCGCACAGUGAACGGAUAAAUUGAUGGAGGAGACGUCAUCUUUCAGUCCGCAACACACACAUUCAUCUUCCCACAGCAGCUCACUCACAGCACCUAUCAUUUUGGGGGUCCUUGGCCUGAAAAACCUUGAAGACCCCUGCUCUAUUAUGUUACCUGCAUCAUCAUUUCUCCUGUUUUUCUCCUGCACAAAUACCUCAUCCACAAUCCGUUGUUCUCAUCCCACACGGUGCGAGCAGUGGGAUGCCGUAAAGGUGCCUGCCAGCAGGGUGUCUUGCUCAGGGGCACUUCGACAUGGGACAGGGAGCAGCCAGGGUUCAAACCACCAACCCUGAAGUUCCCGGCUCACCCUCUCUUCUCCAUGCCAUUGAUCUUUCCUGCAGUACAACCGGUGACCAGCAGGUGGCACUGUAACACCAUCUAUCCACCAAGCUCCUCUCAUCUUCUCUCCUUGUCGUCAUCAGAGAAACUACAUGGACACACGCAUGUACUGGCUUUAUUGUCCAUUCAAAGCCUCAAACUGAUGCAGUUUAUAAAAAACUUAAACAUAGUCUAAUAUGUUCUUGUGUGUCUGCUACUUUAAUUGAUGUUUGAAUUUGAAACAGCUGG
Gasterosteus aculeatus aculeatus (three-spined stickleback) is the source of this 723-nucleotide long non-coding RNA. The record is from Ensembl. NCBI's taxonomy places the organism in Eukaryota, Metazoa, Chordata, Actinopteri, Perciformes, Gasterosteidae.